GCGUAUAUUACAAAACAAGUUCAACAAGUAACUUUAAAUAUCAUACAAACUGAAAUAGAUGCGAGCUGAAGAAAACCUAAGGAGAAAUACAGAGAGAGAG
Long non-coding RNA from Thalassophryne amazonica, 100 nucleotides. RefSeq lists it as uncharacterized. The transcript is spliced from 3 exons. Lineage: Eukaryota; Metazoa; Chordata; Actinopteri; Batrachoidiformes; Batrachoididae. The record is from RefSeq and is a predicted model, not a curated record.